RNAcentral lists this ribosomal RNA (468 nucleotides) under uncultured bacterium. RNAcentral describes it as "partial 16S ribosomal RNA". It matches the Rfam family "Bacterial small subunit ribosomal RNA", at positions 28 to 507 of the family's 1533-position model. The record is from RNAcentral.
GACGAACGCUGGCGGCGUGCUUAACACAUGCAAGUCGAACGGAAAGGCCCUGCUUUUGUGGGGUGCUCGAUUGGCGAACGGGUGAGUAACACGUGAGUAACCUGCCCUUGACUUUGGGAUAACUUCAGGAAACUGGGGCUCAUACCGGUUCGGAGCUCCUGCUGCAUGGUGGGUGUUGGAAAGUUUCGGCGGUUGGGGAUGGACUCGCGGCUUAUCAGCUUGUUGGUGGAGUAGUGGCUUACCAAGGCAUUGACGGGUAGCCGGCCUGGGAGGGUGACCGGCCACAUUGGGACUGAGAUACGGCCCAGACUCGUACGGGAGGCAGCAGUGGGGAAUAUUGCACAAUGGGCGGAAGCCUGAUGCAGCAACGCCGCGUGAGGGAUGACGGCCUUCGGGUUGUAAACCGCUGUCGCCUGUGACGAAGCGUGAGUGACGGUAAUGGGUAAAGAAGCACCGGCUAACUACGUG